UACGUAGGGUGCAAGCGUUGUUCGGAAUUACUGGGCGUAAAGGGCGCGUAGGCGGGCCCGUAUGUCGAUUGUGAAAGCCCUGGGCUUAACCCGGGAAUGGCAGUCGAAACUGCGGGUCUGAAUGCUUGAGAGGAUGGCGGAAUUCCCGGUGUAGAAGUGAAAUUCGUAGAUAUCGGGAGGAACACCAGUGGCGAAGGCGGCGAUCUGGGAAGAUACUGACGCUGAGGUGCGAAAGCGUGGGGAGCAAACAGG
Molecule: ribosomal RNA, 252 nt
Filed under: uncultured bacterium
Lineage: Bacteria
Description: partial 16S ribosomal RNA
Rfam family: Bacterial small subunit ribosomal RNA
Source: RNAcentral